RNAcentral lists this long non-coding RNA (13764 nucleotides) under Setaria viridis. RNAcentral's name for it is "long non-coding RNA (SVIR_LNC002483)". The record is from RNAcentral. Lineage: Eukaryota; Viridiplantae; Streptophyta; Magnoliopsida; Poales; Poaceae.
CAUAUUAUUAUGUAUCUGGACAUAAACUGUAUCUAGACAAAAAUUAUGCACCAAGAAAAAUUAAAAUGACCUACAAUUUGGAAUGCAGGGAGUAGCAUUUUGCAUGCCGUCGUCGUCUCAUCACCGUGUGCGUGUGUGCAGAUGCUCCUUUGCAGCUGGUGAUCAACAACGCCACGAUCCCCGGCACCGGCAGGACGACGAGCACGGGCCAGAUCGUGAUGGCCGUGAGCCUGACCUCGGCACAGCAUCUGGACGCCCUGACGAGCAAUGGCAGCGGCAAGGCGUUCCUUGUUGCUCCUCCGCACGCCUGCGGCGCGCCAAGCAUUCCUCCCGGGAUGGCAGUCGCCGUGGAGGUGCACCCAACCGAUGUGGUUUCCGCCUCAGGUGGGCUACUCCGUCCGAUGAACAACGGCGGCCUGCAUGCAACGACGAACGCCGGCGGCGCCGCCACCAGCCACAACAAGGGUGCCGGUGACACUGUCCAUGCGCAGAUGCCAGCCAUCGCCGCCUCAGAUGGGCUGGUCCUUCCGGACGUCGAAAUGGUUUUUGCUAAAGUCAUCGAUCCUUUCGCUUGCCUGCUCCUAGGCUUUUUUGUAAUCGGUUAAUAAUGAAGGUGAACCUCCGCUAGUAUAUAAUAUAAUGAAAAAAUAAAUCUGUGAUGAAGGUCAGGUAUAUGUGUUGAGUUGCCGUGCCAUGAAAAUGCCAUUAUUACCGGUUGUGAACCCCUUUAGUACCGGUUUCGCAACUGGUACUUAGUAGUUCGAUACUAAGGGGGCUCUUUAGUACCGGUUGAAAUAACUGGUACCAAAGGGUAUUAAAAAAUUAAAAAAGUAAAUCCUCGCACGACUGGCUCCGCCGCCCUCCUCCGUCCGCCCACCGCUGCUCCCGCCUCCGCCCGCCCACCACCCUCCUCCCACCACCCACCCGCCGCCCUCCGCCACUCCCGCCUCCGCCCUCUGCUCGCCGCCACUCUCGCCCGCCCACCGCCGCCACCUCACCUCGCCCCGCCGCUGCUCCUCACUGUGCCGGUAAGGGGCGAGCGGAGGAGGGAGGGGAGGGGAGGCAGUGGAUCGAGAUCUAGCUAGCGGAAGGGGAGAUAGAGGAGAGAGAGAUAGCAGCGGGGGUGGGGUGACGGAUGGUGCAUGUGAAGAUAAGAUAGCAGUGGGGGGACGGAUGGGAAAUAAAGACAGCAGAAGGAGAUGAACGACGGAUGGAAGGCCUAAAGAUAGCAGAAGGAGAUGAACGGUGGGUGGAAGGCCUUUAGUACCAAAUGGGGGCUCUAUCGGGUGGAGCUCCCACCCGAUAUUAUACACAAAGGGUUCCUACCCUUAGUCCACUUAAGACGCACCCCCAACAGUAGACCCUCAACUAUUUGAUCUUGGCUGGUACAACGAGAUCUAAUAGUUGCUCAUGUUAAAAGAGGCCGACAACUCAUUCUCCGGGUGUAUGCCUAAGACGAUACUCCUAAGACUAUUUCAGAGGCAUUUGCAUCUCCAGAUGCAAAUGAUUGAAAAGAAGCUAUCCAUAGUGAGAUGGACUCUAUUCUUUCUAAUGGAACUUGGGAGGUUGUUGAUCGACCAUAUGGUUGUAAACCUGUGGGUUGCAAGUGGGUGUUCAAAAAGAAGCUUAGGCCUGAUGGUACUAUUGAUAAGUACAAGGCUCGACUUGUGGCUCAGGGUUAUACCCAGAAAGAAGGCGAAGAUAUAAAUUUCUUCAACACUUACUCACAUGUUGCUAGAUUGACCAGUAUUCGAGUAUUACUUUCCCUUGCUACCUCACAUGGUCUUCUCGUUCAUCAGAUGGAUGUUAAGACAGCUGUCCUUAAUGGAGAGUUGGAUGAGGAAAUUUAUAUGAAUCAGCCUGAUGGGUUUGUAAUAAAGGGUCAAGAGAACAAGGUGUGUAAAUUGCUGAAAUCUUUGUAUGGCCUGAAACAAGCACCUAAGCAGUGGCAUGAGAAAUUUGAUACUACACUCAUAUCAGCAUGCUUUUCUGUCAAUGAGUCUGAUAGAUGUGUGUACUACCGCCAUGGUGGGGGUGAGGGAGUUAUAUUGUGCUUGUAUGUCGAUGACAUACUGAAUUUUGGUACAAAUCUUGACGUGAUUAAAGAGGUCAAGUCAUUUCUGUGCCAAAAUUUUGACAUGAAAGAUCUGGGAGAGGCAGAUGUAAUUCUGAAUAUCAAGUUGAUCAAAGGAGAGAAUGGGAUUACUCUCACGCAAUCUCAUUAUGUGGAAAAGUUCUUGAGCCGGUUUGGCUUCAAGGACAGUAAGCCUUCUUCCACACCUUAUGAUCCAAGCUUGAUACUUCGGAAAAACAAGAGAAUUGGUAGAGAACAAUUAAGAUACUCUCAGAUUAUUGGAUCACUUAUGUAUUUAGCCAGUGCUACUAGGCCUGACAUCUCAUAUGUUGUUUGCAAACUGAGCCAGUUUACCUCUAAUCCGGGAGAUGAUCAUUGGCAUGCGCUUGAGCGAGUCAUGCGCUAUUUAGUUGGUACUAUGGAUUACGGAAUUCACUACUCCGGGUAUCCUGCGGUGCUGGAAGGCUAUAGUGAUUCAAAUUGGAUAUCUGAUGCUGAUGAACUGUAUGCCACAAGUGGAUACGUCUUCACUCUUGGUGGUGGUGUUGUUUCAUGGAGGUCAUCCAAACAGACUAUCUUAACGAGGUUUACCAUGGAAGCAGAACUUGCAGCAUUAGAUACAGCCACAGUUGAGGCUGAUUGGCUACGUGAACUCUUGAUGGACUUGCCUAUUGUCGAGAAACCUAUGCCGGCAAUACUUAUGAAUUGUGACAAUCAAACGGUGAUAGUCAAAGUGAACAAUUCUAAGGACAAUAUGAAGUUAUCAAGACACGUUAAGAGACGUCUGAAAUCUGUCAGGAAAAUGAGAAACUCCGGAGUAAUAUCAGUGGAUUACAUCUCAACUGAUAAAAACUUGGCAGAUCAGUUCACUAAGGGGCUGUCACGUAAUGUGAUAGACAGUGCAUCAAAGGAGAUAGGUAUGAGACCCAUAUGAGCUACACCAUGGUGGUAACCCAACCUAUGUGAUCGGAGAUCCCGUGAAGUAGGAUCUGGGAAGAACAAGCCAUGGGAUAGCAUGAGAGUAUCCUACUAACCCACUCGAGAAAUGAUGCAACACUCUCAAACCACUGCAUGGCAGGGUGGCUACUGCCUUAAUAUAUUUUGUUGGCUUUAAUUAGCAAAGAUGUUGCCCUGCAGAACAUCUUGGAAAAAUAUACCUAUAUGAGCCCGACUGUUGUAAGGUCGCAGUCUGUGAGACUUGGGUGAUCUCUACUAAGCUCAUGAAGAGACCAGGGGGUACGACCUAUAUGCCCCAUCCGCGGGGUAGGCUACUGGCAGCCAGGUACUAGUUCCGACUUUGAGUGAAACUUGUCCGCACAAAACUUGCAAUUCAAGGCUUAGUCCAUUGGAUGAAUGUAGCUUGAAGCUCUAGGCGAGAGUUCAACUUAACAGUCCUUGUUGAAAUACUGGUAUAUCAAACAGUAGUGAGAAAUGUGCAAAACACCUAAAUUGGUAUUUGAGAUCUGGUGGGGGAUUGUUAGAUAUAUGGGCUUGGCCCAUAUAUAUGAUAAUUCUGAAUAAAUCUCAAAGGCCCAUUUGCGUAAAGAGGGGGUACACCAUCUAUUAGUCCCAUAUUGCUAAUAGAUGAGGGUGUUGGAGCUUUUCCUCCCUAUAUAUAUGGACCACCUCCCUCAUGAAAAAGAUGCAAUAUAGACUACUAUACGGGAAGACCCUAAGGUUAGGGUAUCCCUAAGGUGGUCUGUACUAGUUAGGUUUUUGCCUCCUCUCGCUGUUGCGCCGCCACCGUAGUCUACUCCAUCCCGAUUGUCGGCGUGCAUCGGCGAUUGGGAGAGCAGGUCUCCGGAACCGUCGUCUUCAGCGAUCCUGCACCGGAAGAGGGCGAAUAAGGUUUUUGGGAAGCGCUCUGCGCGACUACUCGAUCGCUUCCUCCGCUUCGUCAAGUUCUUCGUCGACUCCUUCACCACGGCUCGUCUACCUCUUCGUCACUCAGGCAUCACUCGUCGUCGCGAACAACAUCAGGCUGCUGAUCGUCGUCGCCUGCUGUACCCGGUAGUCGUCCAGGAGCCGGUCUUCAUCAAGAAAGAAACGUACGAUCUCUUAUCUCAAAUUAUGUCUUCCAUACUAGCUAUUAUGAUCUGUUGCAGUCUGAUAGCACUGGAUAGUAUGGUAGAAUGUGUGAUUCUAUUUGCAAUGAUAGACUUGUCUAGAUCUUGCGUAGACAUGUCUAAUUUAAUCUACUGUUCAUCGUAUUCAUGAUUUAUUUCUGGAUUAAAUUAAAACUAAAAGUGCUUAUAUAUCCAACAAUCUCUACAGCUAAAAAAGUAAAAAGACCAUCAAAACGUCGUCCUACAUUUGCCACAAUAUAUAGUAAGCAAUAUAUGCCGGCCGAGCUCGAGCUUCGUCGCCCACGAGCAUGCCGCCGCGCUGGGGAUGGAAGGCGUCCACACUGCGCGGGAGCUCGGCGGUGCCCGCGUCCAUGUCAGCGCGCCUCCUGAGGCGGACGUGCACGUACAACAGCUGCAACUUGAGAAGGUGCAUGCCAGCGAGCUCCGCGGGGAUGUUGCCGCGCUUCAGGCACCGGAGAUGCUUGGGGUCGAGGAAGAGGUGCGGAGGGAUGGGCGGCGGCGGCGGCGGAGGGGAGGACAAGGAGAUGAGCGCGGUCACCGGUGGCAGUAGGGGUGGCGGCACUGCAGCGGGUGCUGCUGGGCGACGCGGUAGAGGCCGGUGCCGCCGGGAGGUGGACGAGCCGCGUAUAGAAAAUAAGGCCGACCAGAAGAAAAAAAAAGAAAGGUAAGGGAAAGGAGGAUGACACAUGGGACCCAUAGAUGACAGGUGGGACCCACUGAUAAGCGUGGCUAACGGUGUUAGAAUUGUAUCCAUCCUAACCUUCUCAGCCCCUCCAAUCAAACAAAAAAUUGGAACGGACCCAUCCCUCCUAACCAAACGGGUUGAAUCUAACCUAGUAAAGUGGGAUGGACCCAACCCAUUCCACUUGGUCCCAAAACCAAACACAUGCUUAGGAAUGGACGGGGGGUACGGAAGCAUCUAAAAAUGGAGGGCCUAUAGAGGGCCCAUUGAAAUACUUUUUUUAAAGCUUGAUCCUUUAGAUUUGCGGUAGAGUGUUUAGAGCAAAUACAUUGCUACACAUCAAUGGUCUCAUAGGUCGUCUCAUGCAGUGCCACGUAGGAUUUUUUUAUAACGUGGAGGAAAGAGAACGAGGAGAGAGAAAGAGGUCGUUGUUUCGUGAAACUAAAUUGUAGGACUACGAGACAACUCAAUAACCAUUGUACGAGUUAUUGUUGUCAUGCAACUGUUGGCGCUGAAAAUCGGCCGAUGACCCUCAGCGUCGGACACACGACCCGGGAGAAUCUGCUUAACUCCUGUUCGAGUUAUUGCCCUGGUGCGGUUCGCGUGGCGUGCCAGUCAAUCUAACCUGUUGAUUGACAAGGAAAGAAAAGUAUUAAAUUCCGGGGGUUUCAAUCGGCUGAAGUUCCGAUCUGUCUCGAAAAGCGUAUCAGCGAAUCGACCAAUUUACUGUAGAGAUGACCGGCUAUAGAGCAGCCGAUGAUCACGUAGCGAUUGUAAAGAAACUACUAGAGCAAUUUAAACAACGCUACGAAACGCAACACUUGAAGUAGAUCUAAUCGGCUAUAUGGCAAUAAAUAAGAAUAACAGUAACGAAGCCGACAGUUCGAAUCUCAAGCUGGAUAACUGGUGAUAAAACUAGAGCAAUAGAUAAAUCCUAUAAUUCUAGUUAAUAUCGAUAACUGGUGAAUAAAUCUAAACGAAACGACAGCGAUGCGCCCUAAGUUAAAGCUUAGAUAUUACUCGAUAAACGGAACUUACAAAUCGGCUGGAGAUCGUGUCGAUGCAUCCCUGCCAAUCCGUACGAACUCGUGAAAAGAAAAGGUUUUUGGCGAAGUCGCCGACUUGAAGGUAAAGUACGAAGAAUAAAUAGGUUUAUUGUAUUGAUUGAUGUGUUGUUUUACAAAUCUCUAGAGACUUAAGUUCGGGUUUGUAACACCAACCGGGACUAAAAGUGACUCCACGGAUGAGCUUUUAUUGAGGAUCACCUUUAGUUCCGGGUUCAAAAAUAAUCGAGAUUUUUGUUGAGGAUGGAAGUUCCUUUUUCUACUUCUACUAGUGAACGUUGUCAUUCAUGUGCAAGUUACAAGUUACAAGUUACAAGUUACAAGUUACGUGAUUUUUCACGCAAAAUAUGCGCAUGAGUCGUGCGUUGGAUUCGAACCUACGACCUCAAACCUCCCGCGUAGCUUCUUUACCAUCUCACCUACAAAGCACAUCUAAUUGAGUAGAGGAUGCAGUCUUUUUGUAGUAACUCGUGGGGGACACUUUAGUCCGAAUUUGUAACACCAACCGGGACUAGUCAUCUUUAGUCCCGGUUGGUGGUUGGUGUUACCAACUAGAACUAAGGUGUCUUCGCGGACGAGCUUUUUAUUGAGGAUCACCUUUAAUCCCGGUUAGUUUUGGGUUCAAAAACAACCCAGACUUUUAUUAGGGAUGGAAGAUUAUUUAUCUACUAGUGAACGUUAUCAUUCAUGCGUAUCGAAAGCAGCCCCGGCAUCGAAACACCACCUCUCGCCUAUAAAUGGUGACCAAACCUUUCGCUGCAAUGGCAACCACCAAGGCUGCAAUGGCAACCAGCAAGAUGCUUCUCCCGGUCACUCUCUGCUUCCUCCUCAUGCUCGCAGCGGAAAGCAAGGAAGACGAUAAUACUGUCGUCGUCUUCUACGGCACAGCGCGAUGCAAGAUCAACACCUCCAGGAUCAUCAGCAGUAAGUAAAUUUAUAUGCUGGGUCAACAAGCUAAUUAAACUUCUUUCACAAAUCAAAUGGCCCAAGAAUAAUAGACAAUCAUAUGAGUUUGAGUUUGCUAACCACGCCUUCCACGCGGUCCGAAUAAUCGACAAUCAUAUAACGUAUGCAUGCAGCGGAAGACUAUGUAUGUACAUGGCAUCAUAAAUUUUACGCAAAAACAUAGUUCCAAAUUGUACAUAUUAUUAUGUAUCUGGACAUAAACUGUAUCUAGACAAAAAUUAUGCACCAAGAAAAAUUAAAAUAACCUACAAUUUGGAAUGCAGGGAGUAGCAUUUUGCAUGCCGUCGUCGUCUCAUCACCGUGUGCGUGUGUGCAGAUGCUCCUUUGCAGCUGGUGAUCAACAACGCCACGAUCCCCGGCACCGGCAGGACGACGAGCACGGGCCAGAUCGUGAUGGCCGUGAGCCUGACCUCGGCACAGCAUCUGGACGCCCUGACGAGCAAUGGCAGCGGCAAGGCGUUCCUUGUUGCUCCUCCGCACGCCUGCGGCGCGCCAAGCAUUCCUCCCGGGAUGGCGGUCGCCGCGGAGGUGCACGCAACCGAUGUGGUGGUUCCCGUCCCAGGUGGGCUAUUCGGUUCGAUGAUCAACGGCAGCCUGCAUGCAACGACGAACGCCGGCGGCGCCUCCACCAGCCACAACAAGGGAGCCGGUGACACUGUCCACGCGCAGAUGCCAACCAUGGCCGCCUCAGAUGGGCUGGCCCUUCCGGACGUCGGAAUGGUUUUUGCUAAAGUCAUAGAUCGUUUCGCUUGCGUGGCUUUAUGAGCUUAAUAAUGAAGGUGAACCUCCGCUAGUAUAUAAUAUAAUGAAAAAAUAAAUCUGUGAUGAAGGUCAGGUAUAUGUGUUGUGGCUAUAUGUGUUGUGCCAUCGUGACCAGGGAAAAUGCCAUUAGUACCGGAACCCUUCUUUGAUACCGAUUUACUAGUAGUUCAGUACUAAGGGGCUCCUUUAGUACCGGUUGAAAUAACUGGUACCAAAUGGUAUUAAAAAAUUAAAAAAAAAGCAAAUCCCCCAUCGCUGCCCUCCGCACGCCUGGCCCCGCUGCCCUCCUCCGCACGCCCACCUCCGCCCACCUGCCGCCCUCCUCCCGCCGCUCCCGCCCCCGCCGCCGCCCUCCGCCCGGCCCUGCCACCUUCCUCCGCCCGCCCGCCCGCUACCUCUCCCACCUCUGCCGUCCGUCCGGCCGCGCCGCCUUCCUCCACCUUCCCGCCGUCGCUCCCGUCUCCGCCUUCCCGCCACACGCCCCCGCCGCCCUCCGCCACUCCCACCUCCACCCUCUGCCCACAGCCACCCCCGCCCGCCCACCGCCACCGCUACCGUCGUCGUCUCACCUCGCCCCGCCGCUACCGUCAUCAUCUCACCUCGCCCCGCCGCUGCUCCUCACUGUGCCGGUAAGGGGCGAGCGGAGGGGGGAGGGGUGGGGAGGUAGUGGAUCGAGAUCUAGCUAGCGGAAGGGGAGAUAGAGGAGAGAGAGAUAGCAGCCGGGGUGGGGGACGAAUGGUGCAUAUGCAAAUAAGAUAGCAGUGGGGGGGGUUGGACGGAUGGGAAAUAAAGACAACAGAAGGAGACGAGCAGUGGAUGGAAGGCCUUUAGUACCAGAUGGGGGCUCUACCAGGUGGAGCUCCCACCCGAUACUAAAGGGUAACCUUUAGUAUCAGGUGAGCCCCCACCUGGUACUAAACGGGGGCACGAGGACCUCCUCAGGGAUUAUCCGUUAGGCUCGGUACUAAUGCUCACAUUAGUAUCGUGCCAAAAUACAACUGGUAUUGAGCCUCGGGUCGAAAGACCAUUUCUCUAGUAGUUCACCGCGCAUGGCCUAUACUAAUUAAUCGAUGAGAAGUGAUAUCUCUGCAGCUAAAAAAGUAAAAAGACCAUCAAAACGUCGUCCUACAUUCGCCACAAUAUACAGUAAGCAAUAUACGUACACAUACAUAUUGUGUACGGUCCCAUGGGCACAUGCAUAUUAUGACAAAUUAUUCUGUAUGAGCACUACAGAUUAAAUAGUAUGCUCCUCCCAUGACCUUUCAUGCUUUUGGAGCCAAAUAUAGAAUGUAUAUUUUUGAAGCAUUAUGGCGGUUACAUAUAUAAGCUCUUCCUUUUCGAAAGGAAGAUCGAGUUUGUUCAUUCGAAAUGUUAAAACAAAUGUUCAUAUCAAAGGUUUUGGAAAGUCAAAACCAAACGGUACACGUGCACCACCCUAUCUCCAAAAUAAUAAAUCUAGUGUCUAUAUCUUCUAAAAUGCAAUGAAAUCUAUUUUCUCCUAUGUAUAAUCGAGGGUAUUAUUUUGAAAUUUUUGAGAUCUAAUUUUGCAACCUCGAGGAUUAUUAGCGGUUGUGUGCUGGCAUCGGAUCAAUGAGAAUUACACCAAAACUGGUUGGCAUGUCUGGAGUUCAACUUUUUUGAACGAUUGGCUAGAUUUCACUUUGGUAACAGUUAAUUAUUACAAUCAUCAUCAAGAAGUUUUGUUAACAAAACUAAUUCUCGAUUUGGUAUGUAGCCAGUUAACUUUGGCUAGGAACUAAAGAGUCGAUGAGUUUAGCCAAUUAGCAUUCGACCAUUCGUGUGGUGUACAUAUUUUUUUUUACUGUACAAUACAAAUUAAAUGGAAGCUAAGCCAUAGUUCAGCUUCUCUCCCACGAAAAAGGUCAAACAAAGUUGAUUAGACAACGAACGUUCACCAGUAGAGAAACGAGCAUUAGUCCUAGUCGAGAAAACUCAUUAUCUCGGUUUUCCCAACCGGUACAACUGGUAGUAAAGGUCCUUAAGCGAAACAUACUCGUGCGCAGUGCGUAGUAUUCGAACCCACGACCUCAAGUCUCGCGCGUAGGUUCCUUACCAUCUCACUUACAUAACACAUCUAGUUUAAUAGGGGAUGUAAUUCUUUUGUACUAACUUGUGGGGACCCUUUAGUCCCGGUUGGUGGACUAAAGGUCACCCUUUAGUGCGUGAUGGCCGUGAGGCUGACCUCGGCACAGCAUCUGGACGGCCUGAUGAGCAAUGGCAGCGGCAAGGCGUUCGUCGUCACUCCUUCCCACGCCUGCGGCGCGCCAAGCAUUCCUCCCGGGAUGGCGGUCGCCGCGGAGGUGCACGCAACCGAUGUGGUGGUUCCCGUCCCAGGUGGGCUAUUCGGUUCGAUGAUCAAUGGCAGCCUGCAUGCAACGACGAACGCCGGCGGCGCCGUCACCAGCCACAACAAGGGCGCCGGUGACACUGUCCACGCGCAGAUGCCAACCAUCGCCGCCUCAGAUGGGCUGGCCCUUCCGUACGUCGAAAUGGUUUUUGCUGAAGUCAUAGAUCGUUUCGCUUGCCUGCUCCUAGGCAUAUCUUCAUCCGAACCUCCGCUAGUAUAUAAUAUAAUGAAAAAAUAAAUCUGUGAUGAAGGUCAGGUAUAUGGGUUGCAUUGUCGUGCCAUCAUUCCUAGGGACUUUAGUACCAAUUUUGCAACCAUCACUAAUAGUUCGGUACUAAGGUACUAAGGGGACCCUUUAGUACCGGUUGAAAUAGCGGGUACCAAAGGGUAUUAAAACAAUUAAAAAAAGCAAACCCCCCUGCCGCCCUCCGCAUGCCUGGCCCCGCCUCCGUCCUCCGCCGCCCACCCGCCGCCCUCCUCCCGCCGCCCCCGCCCCCGCCGCCGCCCUCCGCCCGCCCCGCCGCCUUCCUCUGCCCGCCCGCCUCUCCCGCCUCCGCCCUCCGCACGGCCCCGCCACCUUCCCGCCACUGCCGCUCCCGCCUCCACCCUCCUGCCGCCUGCCCCCACCUCCACUCACCCUCCUCCUGCCGCCCUGCCCCCGCCGCCGCCCUCCGCCCGGCCCCGCCGCCUUCAUCUGCCCGCCCGCCGCCUCUCCCACUUCUACCCUCCGCCCGGCCCCGCACCUUCCUCCACCUUUCUGCCACCGCUCCCGCCUCCGCCCUCCUGUCGCCUGCCCUCCUCCCGCCGCCCGCCCGCCACCCUCCGCCACUCACACCUCUGCCCUCUGCCCGCCACCGCCGUCUAACCUCGCCCCGCCGCUGCUCCUCACUGCGCCGGUAAGGGGCGAGCGGAGGGGGGAGGGGAGGGGAGGCAGUGGAUCGAGAUCUAGCUUGCGGAAGGGGAGAUAAAGGAGAGAGAGAGAGAGAUAACAGCGGGGAUGGGGCGAAAACAGAUGAUGCAUGUGAAGAUAAGAUAGCAGUGGCGGGGACGGAUGGGAAAUAAAGACAGCAGAAAAGGACGAGCGGCGGUUGGAAGGCCUUUAGUACCAGAUGGGGGCUCUACCGGGUGGAGCUCCCAUCCGAUACUAAAGGGUGAUAUUUAGUACCGGGUGGAGCCCCCACCCGGUACUAAACGGGGGCACGAGGGCCUCCUCGGGGACUAUCCGAUAGGUUCGGUGCCAAAAUACAUGCACUAUUGAGCCUUGGGACGAAAGGCCAUUUCUCUAGUAGUGCACUGCGCAUGGCCUAUACUAAUUAAUCGAUGAGAAGUGAUAUAUCUACAGCUAAAAAGGUAAAAAGACCAUCAAAACGUCAUCCUACAUUCGCCACGAUAUGUACACAUACAUAUUGUGUACGGUCCCAUGGGCACAUGCAUAUUAUGACAAUUUAGUCUGUAUGUGCACUACAAAUUAAAUAGUAUACGCUCCUCCCAUGACUUUUCAUGCUUUUGGAGCCAAAUAUAAAAUAUAUAUUUUUGAAACAUUAUGGCGGUUACAUAUAUAAGCUCUUCCUUUUCAAAAGGAAGAUCGAGUUUGUUCAUUCGAAAUGUUAAAACAAAUGUUCAUAUCAAAGGUUUUGGAAAGUCAAAACCAAACGGUACACGGGCACCACCCUAUCUCCAAAAUUUUAAAUCUAGUGUCUAUAUCUUCUAAAAUGCAAUGAAAUCUAUUUUCUCCUAUGUAUAAUCGAGGGUAUUAUUUUGAAAUUUUUGAGAUCUAAUUUUGCAACCUCGAGGAUCAUUAGCGGUUGUGUGCUGGCAUCGGAUAUGAGAAUUACACCAAAACUGGUUGGCAUGGCUGGAUUUCACUUUUUUUGAACGAUUGGCUAGAUUUCAGUUUGGUAACAGUUAAUUAUUACAAUCAUCAUCAAGAAGUUUUGUUAAACAAAACUAAUUGUGGAUUUGGUAUGUAGCCAGUUAACUUUGGCUAGGAGCUAAAGAGUCGAUGAGUUUAGCCAAUUAGCAUUAGACCAUUCGCGAACCAAGGUGAGCUACGGUCUUUCCGUGGUGUACAUAUUUUUUUACUACAAUACAAAUUAAAUGGAAGCUUAAGCCAUAGUUCAACCUCGCUCCCACGAAAAAAGUCAAACAAAUUCCGUGGUGUACAUAUUUUUUUGAUACUGUACAAUACAAAUUAAAUGGAAGCUAAGCCAUAGUUCAACUUCUCCCUCGAAAAAAGUCAAACAAAUUUAAUGAGACCACGAACACAGGUAGAGAAACGAGCAUUAGUGUUGGGAAACCCAAUAGAUCUUGAUUUUACCAACCGAGACUAAAGGGUUUUGCGCAAAAGAGAAUAUUGGAAAUUCUCGGGAGGCCCCCCCCAACGCACGCGCAAGUUACAAGUUACGUGAUUUUUCACGCAAAAUAUGCGCAUGAGUCGUGCGUUGGAUUCGAACCUACGACCUCAAACCUCCCGCGUAGCUUCUUUACCAUCUCACCUACAAAGCACAUCUAAUUGAGUAGAGGAUGCAGUCUUUUUGUAGUAACUCGUGGGGGACACUUUAGUCCGAAUUUGUAACACCAACCGGGACUAGUCAUCUUUAGUCCCGGUUGGUGGUUGGUGUUACCAACUAGAACUAAGGUGUCUCCGCGGACGAGCUUUUUAUUAAGGAUCACCUUUAAUCCCGGUUAGUUUUGGGUUCAAAAACAACCCAGACUUUUAUUAGGGAUGGAAGAUUAUUUUUCUACUAGUGAACGUUAUCAUUCAUGCGUAUCGAAAGCAGCCCCGGCAUCGAAACACCACCUCUCGCCUAUAAAUGGUGACCAAACCUUUCGCUGCAAUGGCAACCACCAAGGCUGCAAUGGCAACCAGCAAGAUGCUUCUCCCGGUCACUCUCUGCUUCCUCCUCGUGCUCGCAGCGGAGAGCAAGGAGGACGAUAAUACUGUCGUCGUCUUCUACGGCACAGCGCGAUGCAAGAUCAACACCUCCAGGAUCAUCAGCAGUAAGUAAAUUUAUAUGCUGGGUCAACAAGCUAAUUAAACUUCUUUCACAAAUCAAAUGGCCCAAGAAUAAUAGACAAUCAUAUGAGUUUGAGUUUGCUAACCACGCCUUCCACGCGGUCCGAAUAAUCGACAAUCAUAUAACGUAUGCAUGCAGCGGAAGACUAUGUACAUGGCAUCAUAAAUUUUACGCAAAAACAUAGUUCCAAAUUGUACAUAUUAUUAUGUAUCUGGACAUAAACUGUAUCUAGACAAAAAUUAUGCACCAAGAAAAAUUAAAAUGAUCUACAAUUUGGAAUGCAGGGAGUAGCAUUUUGCAUGCCGUCGUCGUCUCAUCACCGUGUGCGUGUGUGCAGAUGCUCCUUUGCAGCUGGUGAUCAACAACGCCACGAUCCCCGGCACCGGCAGGACGACGAGCACGGGCCAGAUCGUGAUGGCCGUGAGCCUGACCUCGGCACAGCAUCUGGACGCCCUGACGAGCAAUGGCAGCGGCAAGGCGUUCCUUGUUGCUCCUCCGCACGCCUGCGGCGCGCCAAGCAUUCCUCCCGGGAUGGCGGUCGCCGCGGAGGUGCACCCAACCGAUGUGGUUUCCGCCUCAGGUGGGCUACUCCGUCCGAUGAACAACGGCGGCCUGCAUGCAACGACGAACGCCGGCGGCGCCGCCACCAGCCACAACAAGGGUGCCGGUGACACUGUCCACGCGCAGACGCCAACCAUCGCCGCCUCAGAUGGGCUGGUCCUUCCGGACGUCCAAAUGGUUUUU